UGCAAGUCGAGCGAUGGAUUAAGAGCUUGCUCUUAUGAAGUUAGCGGCGGACGGGUGAGUAACACGUGGGUAACCUGCCCAUAAGACUGGGAUAACUCCGGGAAACCGGGGCUAAUACCGGAUAACAUUUUGAACCGCAUGGUUCGAAUGAAAGGCGGCUUCGGCUGUCACUUAUGGAUGGACCCGCGUCGCAUUAGCUAGUUGGUGAGGU
This 211-nucleotide ribosomal RNA is filed under the name Bacillus sp. (in: firmicutes). Its description in RNAcentral is "Bacillus sp. (in: Bacteria) partial 16S ribosomal RNA". It matches the Rfam family "Bacterial small subunit ribosomal RNA", at positions 56 to 258 of the family's 1533-position model. The record is from RNAcentral. Lineage: Bacteria; Bacillati; Bacillota; Bacilli; Caryophanales; Bacillaceae.